CUACUUCUUUGACAUAUUUUGCCUAGGAGUUAUUCCCCUUAGCCGCCAUCUUGUAGGGCAAAGCAGUGAAUUUUCCUCUUUGAGCAACCAAUUUUAAACAUACGUGCCAGAAAUAUAUGGAGGAAAAUAUUUACAUUCUCAAGAUUAUGAAUUAACAGAGACUUUAACAAACGUAUUUUCAAAAGAAAAAUCGUGAUAACUUUACCUCAGUAACCAGUAUAACAAAUUGAACUUGGUUGAAUAAUGAAGGGAUCUGGGAAUGUUGCCCGACAACAUGGCAGCCAUGGGGAAUAACUCUUGCUUUUAAAUUACCUCAAUGGAAAACCUUCUUGAAAAUUUGUAGAUGUAUGUAUAAUUCUACAGUGUUGUGUAAUAUGGCUUGCUGCAUUUUAUAUUUCAGACACUCAGGUGCAACAGUAUUUAAAAAAAAACAAACAUUAGGCCUCUCCUAGUUCACUAAGCCUUUACAAUAGUAUCGUGAUAAUAUAAGAAUGCAGAGAGCCUGUGCCAUGUCCAUCUUUCAACACACCAGCAUAACGUUAUCUACCUGGAUCUGUUAUUUAAGUUGUGAACAGAUAUCCCCAAGAAAGUUAUUACAUCUAUCUGGUAUAAAAAGUAGAAAAUUCAAGAUGAAAAUAUAAACUUACAGAAAAUAUGCAGUCGUUCUGCUCUUUCUUGUCUGCUUUCUGAGCCGCAUGAUGACGUAAUAUUUGACGUACGGCAUUCCAUAGUAAAACUACCUUUGGUUCCGUAACGUAAAUCUUAUAACCGUUGUCAUCAAAGUUCGACUUCAACACGGAAAUAGAUUUUCAAGAUAAAAAAAACUGAAAGACGAAAAUUAAAGUUAUAGGGUAUUUCCCGAUUCUGUGACGAAUACGAAACCGACAAGCCGAAUAAGCCAGGUUCUACUUGCACUUCCUGUUACAGGAAAAAAAAAACGUCAGCGAAAGAACCUCGUGUGGCUUGUUCCAGACUUUCCUUUUGGCUGAUUGCGCUCUAAUCCUUGAAACAAAGGUUCUACAUGACCGUAACACGGCAAGGUGAAGGUGAACUGAGCGACACCUAUUUGAAGGCUUUACAAAGUCUUGUGUGCACAUGAUGCAAAGUCCUGGAUGGUGUGUACGCUGUUUGUCAACAUCUGAAACUCACAUGUAUUUCAGGGAAAUGCUUGUCAGGACCCAAGACUGAAAAAAAGACUGAAAAACUGCCUUUAAACACAGACAUUAUUCACAUCAAUGGAUAAAUUAGAAACAUCCGAACAAUAUUACAUUAGAAUCAUCAGAGACUAUCAACUGUUAUCCCUCACUGUGGCAGAAACACCUAAAUAAACAUUGAAAUGAUAAAUUUCUUUGUUCAUUGCUUUUCUAAUGAUCUAUGAAUAUCGCAUAAUAUUUAUGCGAAUUUCGCACGAUUUAUACAUGAAAAACUGAUAAAUUUAAAUUCGCAUGUAUAUCAUGCGAAAAUAUGGUCACAUGAAAAUCGCAUGAAUUUCGCAUAAAUUUUAUAUGAGAACAUUCGCAUGAAAUUUGCAUGUGUGAUUUUUCGCACGAUUUUUGUAUGAUUUUUGCAUGAAUUUCAUACGAAAAGCAAAUCGCAUGAAAAUCAUGCGAGCCACUUUUCCC
Long non-coding RNA from Saccostrea cuccullata (small rock oyster), 1622 nucleotides. RefSeq lists it as uncharacterized. Lineage: Eukaryota; Metazoa; Mollusca; Bivalvia; Ostreida; Ostreidae. The record is from RefSeq and is a predicted model, not a curated record. The transcript has 4 exons.